RNAcentral lists this ribosomal RNA (492 nucleotides) under uncultured bacterium. RNAcentral describes it as "partial 16S ribosomal RNA". It matches the Rfam family "Bacterial small subunit ribosomal RNA", at positions 29 to 507 of the family's 1533-position model. The record is from RNAcentral.
AGUGAACGCUGGCGGUAGGCCUAACACAUGCAAGUCGAACGGCAGCACAGUAAGAGCUUGCUCUUACGGGUGGCGAGUGGCGGACGGGUGAGGAAUACAUCGGAAUCUACUUUUUCGUGGGGGAUAACGUAGGGACACUUACGCUAAUACCGCAUGCGACCUACGGGUGAAAGCAGGGGAUCUUCGGACCUCGCGCGAUUGAAUGAGCCGAUGUCGGAUUAGCUAGUUGGCGGGGUAAAGGCCCGCCAAGGCGACGAUCCGUAGCUGGUCUGAGAGGAUGAUCAGCCGCACUGGAACUGAGACACGGUCCAGACUCCUACGGGAGGCAGCAGUGGGGAAUAUUGGACAAUGGGCGCAAGCCUGAUCCAGCCAUGCCGCGUGGGUGAAGAAGGCCUUCGGGUUGUAAAGCCCUUUUGGUGGGAAAGAAAAGCAGCAGGUUAAGACCCCGCUGUUCUGACGGUACCCAAAGAAUAAGCACCGGCUAACUUCGUG